UUGGAGGGCAAGUCUGGUGCCAGCAGCCGCGGUAAUUCCAGCUCCAAUAGCGUAUAUUAAAGUUGUUGCAGUUAAAAAGCUCGUAGUUGAAUCUCGGGAUUGACGUGAUGGUCAUGCCUUAAGGGGUAUGAACUGUUGCUGUUGAUUUCUCACCUUCUGGAGAAACUUGAUGUCCUCAAUUGGGUGUCUUGCGGAUCCAGGACCUUUACCUUGAAAAAAUUAGAGUGUUUAAAGCAGGCAUUUUUGCUCGAAUACAUUAGCAUGGAAUAAUAGAAUAGGACGGCAUGGUUCUAUUUUGUUGGUUUCUAGGAUCACCGUAAUGAUUAAUAGGGAUAGUUGGGGGCAUUAGUAUUCAAUUGUCAGAGGUGAGAUUCUUGGAUUUAUUGAAGACUAACUACUGCGAAAGCAUUUGCCAAGGAUGUUUUCAUUAAUCAAGAACGAAAGUUAGGGGAUCGAAGACGAUCAGAUACCGUCGUAGUCUUAACCAUAAACUAUGCCGACUAGGAAUCAGACGAUGUUAAUUUUUUAAUGACUCGUUUGGCACCUUACGGGAAACCAAAGUGUUUGGGUUC
Molecule: ribosomal RNA, 572 nt
Filed under: uncultured Glomeromycotina
Lineage: Eukaryota; Fungi; Glomeromycota
Description: SSU rRNA
Rfam family: Eukaryotic small subunit ribosomal RNA
Source: RNAcentral